AAGUGAAACUGACAGUCGCUUUCAUGAUUUAACUUACAGUGAUCAAACUAUUCCUGUUUCUUCUCUGUUCAUGGUCAUUUUCUGCUAAAACAGAUUCAGAAUGAUCUAUCAGGUCCUCGUCAACUUUAAUGACAGCAAGAAUAAACCGCUAGAAGUGGCGGAUUCAUUAGAAGAGUUUAAUAAAACCACCAUCAGAGAACUGAAGGAGAAGUUCAGAGAGAAGAUUCCUGGAGCACCUGAUCUAGAUCUCUUACGGGUGAUUUUUGGAAGAGAUCCACUGGAAGACCAUCAAACACUUGAGUUUUAUAACAUUAAACAUUUAUCUCUUCUUCUCUUUCUGAUGAGAAUGCCCGGUGGAGGAGGAGGAACAGACCCUGAUGAAGGAUUUCCCAGAUCUGAUUCCAUGGAAAAAUUAUCUUACAACAUGUAGAUGUGUUACACUCACUAGACAUUCAGUCAAAAUAGUUGAAUAUUUCACAUAUCGCUGGUCAUAAGAAACACUGUAUCAUCCACUUCUGUCGCCAAUCUGGAUGGAUGAACACAUAUACACAGUUACUGUAACUCUCAGAAAAAAAAAGGUACAAAAAAUAGGGAUGUACCUUUUCAAAAGGUAUUAAUAUGUACACUUUAGGUACAUAAUGUACCUUUGCGCUAUAGGCUGAGGAGCUUGGUCCACCAAUGCACAGCCCAGGUCAGCCAGUGCACCAGGACCCUCUGCUCCAUGGCCCAGGCCCGCCCAUGAUCCUUGAUUUAUUUUCAAGUUCAGGUUAAUGUGUCAUUGCUUUGUUUAUGAUUCGAUUUGCCAUGGUUUGCCAUGUCAUGUGAUUCCCUGCUCCUCAUGUGAUCAUGCCAUGUUCUCAUUGGUUGAUUUAGUCAUGUGGUUUAUCAGUUCUGUUUUGUGAUUGGGUCAUUGUCUUGAUUGUUCACAGGUGUUCCUUGUUUGUCAUUAGUCUCUUUGUAUAAAUAUCCCUCAUGUUUCAUUGUUCUUUUGUCUAGCUUUGUUCAGGCAACCCAUUUUGGUGAGUUUGUUUGUCCAUGUCCAUGUCCAUGUCCAUGUCCAUGUCCAUGUCCAGUCCAGUCCAGUCCAGCCCAGCCCAGUCCAGCCAAGUCUUUGUUUAUUUUGUGUUUGGUUUACAGAUUCACGUAUCUUAUUCUAAUAAAACUGCACUCGGUUUCUCACUGCAA
This is a long non-coding RNA of Ctenopharyngodon idella (grass carp), 1185 nucleotides long. RefSeq lists it as uncharacterized. The record is from RefSeq and is a predicted model, not a curated record. The transcript has 3 exons. Lineage: Eukaryota; Metazoa; Chordata; Actinopteri; Cypriniformes; Xenocyprididae.